RNAcentral lists this ribosomal RNA (253 nucleotides) under uncultured bacterium. RNAcentral's name for it is "partial 16S ribosomal RNA". It matches the Rfam family "Bacterial small subunit ribosomal RNA", at positions 524 to 776 of the family's 1533-position model. The record is from RNAcentral.
UACGGGGGGGGCAAGCGUUGUUCGGAAUUACUGGGCGUAAAGGGCUCGUAGGCGGCCAACUAAGUCGGACGUGAAAUCCCCAGGCUCAACCUGGGAACUGCGUCCGAUACUGGAUGGCUUGAAUCCGGGAGAGGGAUGCAGAAUUCCAGGUGUAGCGGUGAAAUGCGUAGAUAUCUGGAGGAAUACCGGUGGCGGAGGCGGCAUCCUGGACCGGCAUUGACGCUGAGGAGCGAAAGCCAGGGGAGCAAACGGG